GUGAGGAAGCAGGACGCGGAGGCGGAGGGAAGGACGCGCUGUUCGUCGAGCUGUGGAAGGCCUGCGCGGGGCUGCUGUCCUGCGUGCCGCCGCUCGGGCAGAAGGUCUACUACCUCCCGCAGGGCCACAUCGAGCAGGCAAGUUGUUAGAGGCGACGUGCCAGAUGGUCGGGCUCUUCGGUCAGCGAUCACGAUUCGCGAGCUGCCAGUAGACGGAGAAAGGAUCUGUUGAUCUCCACGACACCGAAAGACGAACGAACG
This is a long non-coding RNA of Zea mays, 260 nucleotides long. RefSeq lists it as uncharacterized. NCBI's taxonomy places the organism in Eukaryota, Viridiplantae, Streptophyta, Magnoliopsida, Poales, Poaceae. The transcript has 2 exons. The record is from RefSeq and is a predicted model, not a curated record.